Molecule: long non-coding RNA, 2776 nt
Filed under: Xyrichtys novacula (pearly razorfish)
Lineage: Eukaryota; Metazoa; Chordata; Actinopteri; Labriformes; Labridae
Source: RNAcentral
AGCAUGACAUUUGGGCAUUUUACACAAUUUUCUCUCAAAGAGGAAAUAUUGACGGGCUGUUUUACCCACAGAUCAUUGAGUCAGAUAGAAAUCAGUGCGCUGCACCUGACAUUUUGCAGGAAACCUCUCAUCAUCUGCUAAUUAAAUGUUUUGCUCUCCUAACAUCAAUCAGCAGCAGUUCAGCACACUUUUGGCAAACUUAAUUCAAAGCUUUUGAUUUUGUAAACAGCAUUUUUAUCACUCCUAAAAAACGGACAAGUUUGUGUGAGACCCUGAACUCAGUUGUCAGAGUCAUAGUAAGAAAUGUUACCCUCUGUGAGAAAGGGAUGUUGCUAUGCAGCCUGCCAAUCACAAAGCCAUCACUGGCUAAAAAGAGAAGAAGGUAAUCUGUGUGUGUAUGCUAUUUAUUGCAUUGCCAUUUUGUAUUUAAUUCUCUGUUUAUGUCCUCGACAUUUGUGAAGUAAGUAAUUGUGAUCCAUUCAAAUGCAGUUGGGUUUGUGCAAAUUGGGUCGGGAAAUGUUAAGGCCAGGACUGUCAUUCCAGCCUUGAUCAUUUCAAUUUUUCAGCCAUUGGCUUUUUCCAGAAACAUGAAAGGGGGUGGAACUUGAAAGGCAAAGUUUGAAAGCCUUCUGUAUCAUUAACUUUCAUUUCAUACAGCAAACAAACGAGAGAAUCGAUUUGGGAUGAAAGUGAGUCAUUGGCCUUGUCACUACUACUUAAGGUCACAAGGGUAAUUAAUUUGUACUGAGGAGGAAGUCAAAUGCUGCCAUGGACACUCCCCGUCUCCCCGAGCCAUCAUCUUAGUGCCGAGCUUCUCUGGAUCAAAAGGCUGUCUUUUAGCCCCCCGCCUCCCGCUGUAACCCUUCUCUGUGAUGUCUCGUGUCUCAGGGCCUGCUGAGUAAUAGAGAUCAAGAGAUCGCAGUCAGAGGCCAACAGAUACCUGCCUUUGUGAAUAGAGCCACUCAGUAGAUGACAUGUUCUGGUCGUGUAAGGUUGUGAUGCUGUCAAGGAAGGAUGAAUUAAUUCUGGAGGACCAGGGUCUCAAACAUUUAAGUAAACGGCACAACAAUAACUAGAAUAUUUUUUAAAAAAAUGGUUAACAGUGUCACAAGUCUGCAAAUAUCAACUUUUAGUGAUAAUGGUGGUUGAUUUAGUUACGGUGUGCUUCAGUGUUUCAAAUUAGAUAUGAUAUAAGAUAUAUAUUAGAUAUAAAUUGAUUUUUUGCUUUAGAGCCGUGAAGUUAAGAGAUAACUUUUUGCUAAAAUUCUGAGCUUUCUUUUAAAAACAUUAGGGGUGGGAAUCACCAGUGGCCCCACACUACGAAAGUAUCACUGUACUUGGGCCACGAUUGCGAUUUUUAACAUUUUGCAAUACAGUAAGUAUUGCGAUACCAUAAAUUGCAAUUUAUACAAUUUUUUUCAACUGUUUAGCUGAUUUAGCAUUUCAUCUUUUCUUUAUCUUUGUCUUAUUUAUGCUGUAUUUUAUUUUCAUGUUGCACAUCUUGCAAACCUUAUAUUUAUUCGUUGUACUAACUUUCUCCUGCUCUAUGAUGUCACCUCUGCAAAACUCACUGGACAAACAGUUGAUUUUAUUUUUCCAUUAUCAUAGAUUUGACUUCAUAUUAACAAUUAAUUUGAAAAAAUCGAUACUCGGUAAAUGAGACGAUAUGAUAUAUCACCAGACAAAAUAUCGUGAUACUAUGCUAUAUCAAUUCUUUCUCCCACUCCUCAAAAUUAUGAUGUAAUUUAUUCAGUGCAUCUCCUACAAUUAUUCUCUGAAAGGAGGAGUACUACAAAAAUAUCCAGGAGCACAAGAAAGGAUGUGAAAUCUCUCAGUUUUAUUAUUAAAAGCUAACACUUACUCAUGACAUUUGCAUCCUAAUAACUGGGAGAUAUGUUGGAACUAAGAUGACACCAUAAACCCAAUCAUCAUAAUGAGAUUUAUGGGGGGAAAGUGUUGCCUUCAGUGGUUUAGCACACACAGAAGGAAGAGCAGUGUAGGCGAACGUGUCAGGGACGCAGUUGAUAUAUUCACAUAAGCAUCAGUAUGCUCUGUCAUGCCUUUCAGUGGUGCAAAGAUAAGAGAGGUGCAGAUAACAGAAACUAUGAAUGUGUAAUCCUACAGUUGUCUCUGCUUUUUUGGUACUUUUCUCUUGAUAGACUAUACUGUACGUUCUAUUAAUUUUUUCCUCUCAUUUAUUUCAGCAUGCUGGGUGGUGUGUGUAGUCAGAUGAAACGGUGUCAUCAGUCAGUUAAAUGUACCGGAGAGACGCAGUUUGAGCAACGACAAUGGCUAAUUUCCUCUCUUCAUCCUGUCUCACUCCAUAACCGGCCUGUCGUACACUUACAUUUAUCUGCUGCUUUAUCAGAUGGGAUCUCUACAUGUUGUGUUUGGAGUAUUAUGACUAAUAAAUACAUAGCUCUUUUUCCAUGUUUCACAGAAUAUGUCUCAUUAUCAUCUCAGAACUUUUUUGAAACUACCUUUGAGUCCAAGCAGGGAUUUUACUGUUAAGUCCUUGAGAAAAUCAAUUUUGUGAAGCUCCCUGGAGAUCAAAAAUGGUUUUGCCUAGUGUACUGUCAUCUCUUCAUGUCAGAAUUACAUUAUCCCUCCAGCCCGGACAAAAUUGAGGAGGCAGGACAGUGCUUCAUGACAUACGAGGGAUGUUUUUGACGACUGACUUGUGUUUUGUUUUGUCCCAGCAGGUUUGAGCACUUGUACCAGCAGUCUUUUUUUAUGUCGCUCUUGCCGACAUGAUCCCUAUUAUGCAACGUUAAGC